Molecule: long non-coding RNA, 1527 nt
Filed under: Salmo salar (Atlantic salmon)
Lineage: Eukaryota; Metazoa; Chordata; Actinopteri; Salmoniformes; Salmonidae
Description: lncRNA (ENSSSAG00000090512.1)
Source: RNAcentral
CAGAGAGUAGAGAGAGAGAGGUAGAGGGACAGAGAGUAGAGAGAGAGAGAGGUAGAGGGACAGAGAGUAGAGAGAGAGAGAGGUAGAGGGACAGAGAGUAGAGAGAGAGAGGUAGACGGACAGAGAGUAGAGAGAGAGAGGUAGAGGGACAGAGAGUAGAGAGAGAGGUAGAGGGACAGAGAGUAGAGAGAGAGAGGUAGAGGAACAGAGUAGAGAGAGAGAGGUAGAGGGACAGAGAGUAGAGAGAGAAGUAGAGGAACAGAGAGUAGAGAGAGAGAAGUAGAGGGACAGAGAGUAGAGAGAGAAGUAGAGGGACAGAGAGUAGAGAGAGAAGUAGAGGGACAGAGAGUAGAGAGAGGUAGAGGGACAGAGAGUAGAGAGAGAGAGAGGUAGAGGGACAGAGAGUAGAGAGAGAGAGGUAGAGGGACAGAGAGUAGAGAGAGAGGUAGAGGGACAGAGAGUAGAGAGAGAGAGGGAGAGGGACAGAGAGUAGAGAGAGAGAGGUAGAGGGACAGAGAGUAGAGAGAGAGGUAGAGGGACAGAGAGUAGAGAGAGAAGUAGAGGCACAGAGAGUAGAGAGAGAGGUAGAGGGACAGAGAGUAGAGAGAGAGAGAGGUAGAGGGACAGAGAGUAGAGAGAGAGAGGUAGAGGGACAGAGAGUAGAGAGAGAGAGGUAGAGGGACAGAGAGUAGAGAGAGAGAGGUCGGGGCAGAGAGUAGAGAGAGAGAGAGGUAGAGGGACAGAGAGUAGAGAGAGAGGUAGAGGGACAGAGAGUAGAGAGAGCGGUAGAGGGACAGAGAGUAGAGAGAGAGGUAGAGGAACAGAGAGUAGAGAGAGAGGUAGAGGGACAGAGAGUAGAGAGAGAGGUAGAGGAACAGAGAGUAGAGAGAGAGGGGUAGAGGGACAGAGAGUAGAGAGAGCGAGAGAGGUAGAGGGACAGAGAGUAGAGAGAGAGAGAGGUAGAGGGACAGAGAGUAGAGAGAGAGAGAGGUAGAGGGACAGAGAGUAGAGAGAGAGAGAGAGUAGAGGGACAGAGAGUAGAGAGAGAGAGAGUAGAGGGACAGAGAGUAGAGAGAGAGGUAGAGGAACAGAGAGUAGAGAGAGAGGUAGAGGGACAGAGAGUAGAGAGAGAGAGGUAGAGGGACAGAGAGUAGAGAGAGAGAGGUAGAGGAACAGAGAGUAGAGAGAGAGAGGUAGAGGGACAGAGAGUAGAGAGAGAAGUAGAGGGACAGAGGGACAGAGAGUAGAGAGAGAGAGGUAGAGGGACAGAGAGUAGAGAGAGAAGUAGAGGGACAGAGAGUAGAGAGAGAAGUAGAGGAACAGAGAGUAGAGAGAGGUAGAGGGACAGAGAGUAGAGAGAGAGAGGUAGAGGGACAGAGAGUAGAGAGAGAGAGGUAGAGGGACAGAGAGUAGAGAGAGAGAGGUAGAGGGACAGAGAGUAGAGAGAGAGAGAGGUAGAGGGACAGAGAGUAGAGAGAGAGAGGUAGAGGGACAGAGAGUGAGAGAGAGAGGUAGAGGGACAGAGAG